CGGCCCCAGCGCGGGCGGGCCCGGCCGCAGGGCGCAGGCGCAGCGCUCCGGCCGCGCUCGGAGUCACAGCUCUGAGGGGGUUUUAAGGGUAUAAAAUGUGUCUCCCAGCGCUCUCUCGUAAGGGCUGCAGCGCUGACCUUUAAAUGCAUCACAUAUCGUCUUUGAGUUCACACCGAGCCUUUGCCGCUCUCGGAAAUAACAGAGCGGGAGGCUCUGUGCAGGCCCAGACAACUCUAGGAAUGGAGAAGAAAAAAAACCCAAACAUUUUCAAAAUACUUUUGAUAGCUGAUGUAUCCCUAGUUUGUACCUAGAGGAGGUUGUGGUGAUACAGUUCCGGAGAUCAAUGGUGCUCGUUGGUGCCGAGGAUCUUAAAGCUUGGAAAGAAGUGGGGAGUCCUUGUGGUUUGCCUUAAUAGAGCAAUUAAUCAUAGCUCAUUUCAUCCCACUCCCCUGCCAUGGGAAGGGACACCUUCCACUAGACCUGGUUGCUCCAAGUCUCAUCCAACCUGGCCUUGAACAUUUCCAAAGAUGGGACAUCCACAGCUUCUCUGGGCAGCCUGUGCUGGGUCCUCACCACCCUCAAAGGGAAAAACUUCUCCUAAUAUCUAAUAUAAACCUACUCUCUUUUAGUUUGAAGCCAUUUUCCCCUUGUUCUGUCACUCCAUGCUCUUGUAAUGGUCUCUCUCUGUCUUUCCUUCAGGUUCCCUGCAGGUACUGGAAGACCACAAUUAUGACACCCCAAAGCCUUCUCUUCUCCGGGCUGAACAAUCCCAAUCGCCUCAGCCUUUCCUCGUAGGGAGGGCACUCCAUCUCUUCAUCUAUUAUAUUCCAGCACUCUGGAAAAAGAAUGAUUUCCCAGGAGAAAAUGAAGGACUUGUAAGAGACAAAUGUGUACGUUGCAAUUGUUAUUGUAGAAAAAUAUUAUAAAAUAAAAAUCAGUAAGCACAAAC
Molecule: long non-coding RNA, 949 nt
Organism: Pseudopipra pipra
Lineage: Eukaryota; Metazoa; Chordata; Aves; Passeriformes; Pipridae
Exons: 2
Source: RefSeq, a predicted model, not a curated record